GACGAACGCUGGCGGCGUGCUUAACACAUGCGAGUCGAACGGAAAGGCCCUGCUUUUGUGGGGUGCUCGAGUGGCGAACGGGUGAGUAACACGUGAGUAACCUGCCCUUGACUUUGGGAUAACUUCAGGAAACUGGGGCUAAUACCGGAUAGGAGCUCCUGCUGCAUGGUGGGGGUUGGAAAGUUUCGGCGGUUGGGGAUGGACUCGCGGCUUAUCAGCUUGUUGGUGGGGUAGUGGCUUACCAAGGCUUUGACGGGUAGCCGGCCUGAGAGGGUGACCGGCCACAUUGGGACUGAGAUACGGCCCAGACUCCUACGGGAGGCAGCAGUGGGGAAUAUUGCACAAUGGGCGGAAGCCUGAUGCAGCAACGCCGCGUGCGGGAUGACGGCCUUCGGGUUGUAAACCGCUUUCGCCUGUGACGAAGCGUGAGUGACGGUACUGGGUAAAGAAGCACCGGCUAACUACGUG
This 468-nucleotide ribosomal RNA is filed under the name uncultured bacterium. RNAcentral's name for it is "partial 16S ribosomal RNA". It matches the Rfam family "Bacterial small subunit ribosomal RNA", at positions 28 to 507 of the family's 1533-position model. The record is from RNAcentral.